GACGAACGCUGGCGGCGUGCCUAAUACAUGCAAGUUGAGCGCUGAAGGUUGGUACUUGUACCGCCUGGAUGAGCAGCGAACGGGUGAGUAACGCGUGGAGAAUCUGCCUUUAAGCGGGGGACAACAUCUGGAAACGAAUGCUAAUACCGCAUAAAAACUUGAAACACAUGUUUUAAGUUUGAAAGAUGCUAUUGCAUCACCCAAUGAUGAUCUCCCGGUGUAUUAGCUUGUUGGGGAGGUAAAAGCUUACCAAAGCGAUGAAACAUAGCCGACCUGAGAGGGGGAUCGGCCACACUGGGAAAGAGACACGGCCCCAACUCCCACAGGAGGCAGCAGAAGGGAAUAUUCGGCGAUGGGCGAAAGUCUGACCGAGCAAAGCCGCGUGAGUGAAGAAGGGUUUCGGGUCGUAAAAAUCUGUUGGUAGAGAAGAAAGUUGGUGAGAGUGGAAAGCUCAUCAAGUGACGGUAACUACACAGAAAGGGACGGCUAACUACGUG
RNAcentral lists this ribosomal RNA (497 nucleotides) under uncultured bacterium. Its description in RNAcentral is "partial 16S ribosomal RNA". It matches the Rfam family "Bacterial small subunit ribosomal RNA", at positions 28 to 507 of the family's 1533-position model. The record is from RNAcentral.